UGGAGGUGGGUUAAGGGGUCUUCCGUUCCCGUAUAGAACGGUAUCCGAAGCUGCUGCCCUUCUCGAUCCUGCCGAGAGUCCCGGAUGCGCCUGGUAAAUGGCCCCGGUCGAAGCUUUCCCCACUCUGGCCCCUGGGAGCGGGCGUUGUCGUUCUCCAUUUUCUGGAUUCUUUGAAAAAGGAGUCGUACAGCGGGGUCUCGGCUAGGGAUUUCCUCGGAAUCGAAGUCUUCUGUUCGCC
Molecule: long non-coding RNA, 238 nt
Filed under: Prunus persica (peach)
Lineage: Eukaryota; Viridiplantae; Streptophyta; Magnoliopsida; Rosales; Rosaceae
Description: long non-coding RNA (PPER_LNC001733)
Source: RNAcentral